AGUGAACGCUGGCGGUAGGCCUAACACAUGCAAGUCGAACGGCAGCACAGUAAGAGCUUGCUCUUACGGGUGGCGAGUGGCGGACGAGUGAGGAAUACGUCGGAAUCUACUUUUUCGUGGGGGAUAACGUAGGGAAACUUACGCUAAUACCGCAUACGACCUACGGGUGAAAGCAGGGGAUCUUCGGACCUUGCGCGAUUGAAUGAGCCGAUGUCGGAUUAGCUAGUUGGCGGGGUAAAGGCCCACCAAGGCGACGAUCCGUAGCUGGUCUGAGAGGAUGAUCAGCCACACUGGAACUGAGACACGGUCCAGACUCCUACGGGAGGCAGCAGUGGGGAAUAUUGGACAAUGGGCGCAAGCCUGAUCCAGCCAUACCGUGUGGGUGAAGAAGGCCUUCGGGUUGUAAAGCCCUUUUGUUGGGAAAGAAAAGCAGCAGGUUAAUACCCCGCUGUUCUGACGGUACCCAAAGAAUAAGCACCGGCUAACUUCGUG
This 492-nucleotide ribosomal RNA is filed under the name uncultured bacterium. RNAcentral describes it as "partial 16S ribosomal RNA". It matches the Rfam family "Bacterial small subunit ribosomal RNA", at positions 29 to 507 of the family's 1533-position model. The record is from RNAcentral.